Hemicordylus capensis (graceful crag lizard) is the source of this 383-nucleotide long non-coding RNA. RefSeq lists it as uncharacterized. The record is from RefSeq and is a predicted model, not a curated record. The transcript has 2 exons. NCBI's taxonomy places the organism in Eukaryota, Metazoa, Chordata, Lepidosauria, Squamata, Cordylidae.
AAAGACUUGAUGCAGAUGUCUGCAAUUCCUCCAGCUGCUGUUAACAGUUUUGGAUGAGGUGUGAGGAAUUGGUGGCAGUAUGGACAACUUUACAGGACUGAAACUGCCUGUUGGAUCCAGAGAACAGGCAGCCAAAUUUGAAGGAUGCAGAAAAAUCUCUCCAAAGAGAGAUUAGGCAGAAUCUCCUGCCCUCCCCCUGGUCCCACUACAAUCUUGUCAGGCUGCAUCAGGAAGAACAGGGCUUCCAUUGUAUAAAGAACACACGAGAAGCCAUCCCGGAUUUUAAUUUUUUAAAAGCCUAUUAUGCAAUUCUGGGACGUAGCCAGGAAGAUCCCAGUCAGCAUGUUCCAUCAGUGAGAAAUAAAAGGAUAACAGACCCAAUA